UAGGGAAUAUUAGUUAAUGUGCGAAAGCGCGAACUAGCAACGCCGCGUGUGCGAUGAAGGCCUUCGGGUCGUAAAGCACUUUUUCGAGGGACGAGGAAGGACGGUACCUCGAGAAUAAGCAUCGGCUAACUACGUGCCAGCAGCCGCGGUAAAACGUAGGAUGCAAGCGUUAUCCGGAUUUACUGGGCGUAAAGCGCGUGUAGGCGGUUCGGUAAGUUGGAUGUGAAAGCUCCUGGCUUAACUGGGAGAGGUCGUUCAAUACUGCCGAGCUAGAGGAUGGUAGAGGGAGGUGGAAUUCCGAGUGUAGUGGUGAAAUGCGUAGAUAUUCGGAGGAACACCAGUGGCGAAAGCGGCCUCCUGGACCAUUUCUGACGCUCAGACGCGAAAGCUAGGGUAGCAAACGG
This 404-nucleotide ribosomal RNA is filed under the name uncultured bacterium. RNAcentral's name for it is "bacterial SSU rRNA". It matches the Rfam family "Bacterial small subunit ribosomal RNA", at positions 355 to 775 of the family's 1533-position model. The record is from RNAcentral.